RNAcentral lists this ribosomal RNA (301 nucleotides) under uncultured bacterium. RNAcentral describes it as "partial 16S ribosomal RNA". It matches the Rfam family "Bacterial small subunit ribosomal RNA", at positions 509 to 807 of the family's 1533-position model. The record is from RNAcentral.
CAGCAGCCGCGGGAACACAGAGGGUGCGAGCGUUAAUCGGAUUUACUGGGCGUAAAGCGUGCGUAGGCGGCUUCUUAAGUCGGAUGUGAAAUCCCUGAGCUUAACUUAGGAAUUGCAUUCGAUACUGGGAAGCUAGAGUAUGGGAGAGGAUGGUAGAAUUCCAGGUGUAGCGGUGAAAUGCGUAGAGAUCUGGAGGAAUACCGAUGGCGAAGGCAGCCAUCUGGCCUAAUACUGACGCUGAGGUACGAAAGCAUGGGGAGCAAACAGGAUUAGAGACCCCGGUAGUCCCUGUCUCUUAUAC